CAGCAGCCGCGGUAAUACGUAGGGGGCGAGCGUUCCCCGGAUUCACUGGGCGUAAAGGGGGUGUAGGCGGCUCGGUAAGUCGGGUGUGAAAUCCCACGGCUCAACCGUGGAAUUGCGCCCGAAACUGCCGAGCUUGGGGCCGGUAGAGGGAGACGGAACUGCCGGUGUAGGGGUGAAAUCCGUAGAUAUCGGCAGGAACGCCGGUGGGGAAGCCGGUCUCCUGGGCCGCGCCCGACGCUGAGGCCCGAAAGCUAGGGGAGCAAACCGGAUUAGAUCCCCGGGUAGUCCUAGCCGUAAACGAUGCCCACUAGGUGUGGGGGAGUAUUUCCUCCGUGCCGAAGCUAACGCAUUAAGUGCCCCGCCUGGGGAGUACGGCCGCAAGGUUGAAACUUAAAGGAAUUGGCGGG
This 407-nucleotide ribosomal RNA is filed under the name uncultured microorganism. Its description in RNAcentral is "bacterial SSU rRNA". It matches the Rfam family "Bacterial small subunit ribosomal RNA", at positions 509 to 917 of the family's 1533-position model. The record is from RNAcentral.